CCAGACUCCUACGGGAGGCAGCAGUGAGGAAUAUUGGUCAAUGGGCGCAAGCCUGAACCAGCCAAGUAGCGUGCAGGAAGACGGCCCUAUGGGUUGUAAACUGCUUUUGUAUGGGGAUAAAGUCAGUCACGUGUGAUUGUUUGCAGGUACCAUACGAAUAAGGACCGGCUAAUUCCGUGCCAGCAGCCGCGGUAAUACGGAAGGUCCGGGCGUUAUCCGGAUUUAUUGGGUUUAAAGGGAGCGUAGGCUGGAGAUUAAGUGUGUUGUGAAAUGUAGACGCUCAACGUCUGACUUGCAGCGCAUACUGGUUUCCUUGAGUACGCACAACGUUGGCGGAAUUCGUCGUGUAGCGGUGAAAUGCUUAGAUAUGACGAAGAACUCCGAUUGCGAAGGCAGCUGACGGGAGCGCAACUGACGCUGAAGCUCGAAGGUGCGGGUAUCGAACAGGAUUAGAUACCCUGGUAGUCCGCACAGUAAACGAUGGAUGCCCGCUGUUAGCGCCUGGCGUUAGCGGCUAAGCGAAAGCAUUAAGCAUCCCACCUGGGGAGUACGCCGGCAACGGUGAAACUCAAAGGAAUUGACGGGGGCCCGCACAAG
Molecule: ribosomal RNA, 597 nt
Filed under: uncultured bacterium
Lineage: Bacteria
Description: bacterial SSU rRNA
Rfam family: Bacterial small subunit ribosomal RNA
Source: RNAcentral